RNAcentral lists this ribosomal RNA (463 nucleotides) under uncultured bacterium. RNAcentral describes it as "partial 16S ribosomal RNA". It matches the Rfam family "Bacterial small subunit ribosomal RNA", at positions 28 to 507 of the family's 1533-position model. The record is from RNAcentral.
GACGAACGCUGGCGGCGUGCUUAACACAUGCAAGUCGAACGGAAAGGCCUUUUCGGAGGUACUCGAGUGGCGCACGGGUGAGUAACACGUGGGUGAUCUGCCCUGCACUCUGGGAUAAGCCUGGGAAACUGGGUCUAAUACCGGAUAGGACCGCACUUUAGUGUGUGUGGUGGAAAGUUUUUUCGGUGUAGGAUGAGCCCGCGGCCUAUCAGCUUGUUGGUGGGGUAAUGGCCUACCAAGGCGGCGACGGGUAGCCGGACUGAGAGGUUGGUCGGCCACAUUGGGACUGAGAUACGGCCCAGACUCCUACGGGAGGCAGCAGGGGGGAAUAUUGCACAAUGGGCGCAAGCCUGAUGCAGCGACGCCGCGUGGGGGAUGACGGCCUUCGGGUUGUAAACGCCUUUCGCCAGGGACGAAGCGUUUUGUGACGGUACCUGGAGAAGAAGCACCGGCUAACUACGUG